GACGAACGCUGGCGGCGUGCCUAAUACAUGCAAGUCGAACGCUUAAGAGAGGAGCUUGCUCUUCUUGGAUGAGUUGCGAACGGGUGAGUAACGCGUAGGUAACCUGCCUUGUAGCGGGGGAUAACUAUUGGAAACGAUAGCUAAUACCGCAUAACAAUGGGUGACACAUGUCAUUUAUUUGAAAGGGGCAAUUGCUCCACUACAAGAUGGACCUGCGUUGUAUUAGCUAGUAGGUGAGGUAAUGGCUCACCUAGGCGACGAUACAUAGCCGACCUGAGAGGGUGAUCGGCCACACUGGGACUGAGACACGGCCCAGACUCCUACGGGAGGCAGCAGGAGGGAAACUUCGGCAAUGGGGGCAACGCUGACCGAGCAACGCCGCGUGAGGGAAGAAGGGUCUCGGAUCGUAAAGCUCUGUUGUAAGUCAAGAACGGGGGUGAGAGUGGAAAGUUCAUACUGUGACGGUAGCUUACCAGAAAGGGACGGCUAACUACGUG
RNAcentral lists this ribosomal RNA (497 nucleotides) under uncultured bacterium. RNAcentral describes it as "partial 16S ribosomal RNA". It matches the Rfam family "Bacterial small subunit ribosomal RNA", at positions 28 to 507 of the family's 1533-position model. The record is from RNAcentral.